CCUACGGGAGGCAGCAGUGAGGAAUAUUGGUCAAUGGGCGUAAGCCUGAACCAGCCAAGUCGCGUGAGGGAUGAAGGUUCUAUGGAUCGUAAACCUCUUUUAUAAGGGAAUAAAGUGUGGUACGUGGCCUCUUUUGUAUGUACCCUAUGAAUAAGGAUUGGCUAACUCCGUGCCAGCAGCCGCGGUAAUACGGAGGCUCCGAGCGUUACCCGGAUUUAUUGGGUUUAAAGGGUGAGUAGGCGGCCUUUUAAGUCAGCUGGGAAAGUCUGUGGCUCAACCAUAGAAUUGCCGUUGAAACUGGGGGGCGUGAGUAUGUGUGAGGCAGGCGGAAUGCGUGGUGUAGCGGUGAAAUGCUUAGAUAUCACGCAGAACCCCGAUUGCGAAGGCAGCCUGCCGAGCCAUGACUGACGCUGAUGCACGAAAGCGUGGGGAUCAAACAGGAUUAGAUACCCUAGUAGUC
This 460-nucleotide ribosomal RNA is filed under the name uncultured bacterium. RNAcentral describes it as "partial 16S ribosomal RNA". It matches the Rfam family "Bacterial small subunit ribosomal RNA", at positions 338 to 795 of the family's 1533-position model. The record is from RNAcentral.